ACUCCUACGGGAGGCAGCAGUGGGGAAUAUUGCACAAUGGGCGCAAGCCUGAUGCAGCCAUGCCGCGUGUAUGAAGAAGGCCUUCGGGUUGUAAAGUACUUUCAGCGGGGAGGAAGGCGAUAAGGUUAAUAACCUUGUUGAUUGACGUUACCCGCAGAAGAAGCACCGGCUAACUCCGUGCCAGCAGCCGCGGUAAUACGGAGGGUGCAAGCGUUAAUCGGAAUUACUGGGCGUAAAGCGCACGCAGGCGGUCUGUCAAGUCGGAUGUGAAAUCCCCGGGCUCAACCUGGGAACUGCAUUCGAAACUGGCAGGCUAGAGUCUUGUAGAGGGGGGUAGAAUUCCAGGUGUAGCGGUGAAAUGCGUAGAGAUCUGGAGGAAUACCGGUGGCGAAGGCGGCCCCCUGGACAAAGACUGACGCUCAGGUGCGAAAGCGUGGGGAGCAAACAGGAUUAGAAACCCGAGUAGUCCCAUGA
This 474-nucleotide ribosomal RNA is filed under the name uncultured organism. RNAcentral's name for it is "partial 16S ribosomal RNA". It matches the Rfam family "Bacterial small subunit ribosomal RNA", at positions 335 to 800 of the family's 1533-position model. The record is from RNAcentral.